GGCGACGUGGCCAAGUGGUAAGGCAGAGGUCUGCAAAACCUUUAUCACCGGUUCGAAUCCGGUCGUCGCCUC
This 72-nucleotide transfer RNA is filed under the name Ardenticatenaceae bacterium. Its description in RNAcentral is "tRNA-Cys". It matches the Rfam family "tRNA". From Rfam's summary of the family: Transfer RNA (tRNA) molecules are approximately 80 nucleotides in length. Lineage: Bacteria; Bacillati; Chloroflexota; Ardenticatenia; Ardenticatenales; Ardenticatenaceae. The record is from RNAcentral.